RNAcentral lists this long non-coding RNA (10741 nucleotides) under Gossypium barbadense (sea-island cotton). Its description in RNAcentral is "long non-coding RNA (GBAR_LNC018579)". Lineage: Eukaryota; Viridiplantae; Streptophyta; Magnoliopsida; Malvales; Malvaceae. The record is from RNAcentral.
CCACUUUUCUCACCCAAUCUUGGUAUCAACCUAGACACAACCAUUUGCACAUUCAGAAACCACAACAAAACCUUCAAUUCAAGCCAAAAUCAAGUUUUUAUACUUAUUAUAUCAUCACAUAUACUUAAAUAUCCUAACUUGCCAAAUUAACCACAUACAUCUAUAUGCAUAUUUUACUAAUUUACUAGUCUAAAUCAUGCUUCAAUAUACCUAUUAAUUAACCAUCAUUUAACCAAUCCAAACAUACCUCAUCCAUGAUUAAUCCAUACCCGCAUAAGUUGAUUACAAAUAUAAUCAAAGUAUAACUUUUAAUAUUUACACAAACCAAUUUUACUUAAACCGUUAUAGCCUUAUACAUGCCAUAUAAAGCUUAGUACAUGUUGCAAAAGCUACCUAAGUGAGUUGGAUAGUUUGGCUUGAUGUGUUGAUCCGAUCUCCUGACUUCACGUUAAUCUAUAAGGACAUUAAACGACACAAUUAAGCUUAAUAAAGCUUAGGAAGUUCGAUAGGUUAAACAUAGAUCUUACAAAAAUUAAUAUAAUAAAUUUAAUAGUAAAUUAUUCAUACAUUCUCCCUAUCAAUCACAAAAUAAAUCGAUGAACACAUUUCUUUCAAAUCAAUAUCAAUAAUAAACGAUAAAUAUUUCAAAUCCAAUCACAUAAGUCUUUUAUCAAAUCUUAUCGAAUCGGAGAAUGACUUACGGAUAUGAGUAUAUCAUAUUCAGAAGCCCGAAGGCUGCACGGAAGCACAUAAAUGCUAAACUGAAGCCCAUAAGGGUUGAACGGAAGCUCAUAGGAGCUGAAUGGAAACCCAUAAGGGUUAAACAGAAACUCAUAUGAGUUAACAGAAGCUCGUGAGAACUAAACAGAAAGUAAACACGAAAGUUCGCAACAAAUGCUGAAUCUCGGUUUACAUGGGUAAUUUGUCAUCAAUUCAUCCUUUGUAUUUACUGUCAAUUCAUCCUUUGCAUUUACCGUCAAUUCAUCCUUUGCAUUUACCGUCAAUUCAUCCUUUGCCAUACAACGAUUGUACUCAAUCUAGCGUUCCACUCGUUUUGAACAUUUAAUUCAAUUUCAUAAUUUAACAAUAAUUUUAUUUUCAACAAUAGAUAUGAAUUAAUAGAUAAUAACAUUCAUCAAGUUAAUAAAUAAACAUUAAAGUUUAACUAUACGAACUUAGGUUAAAUUGUAAGAUUUGUAGUAGUUUAGAGACUAUUCUACUAUUUUUCCUUUUUCACGUUUGUCUACGGACUCUUGAUCUAAAAUGUAAAACUAUUUAUUCAUUAGCAUAUAAUUCAAUUUUCAAUUCACUUCACAAUUAAUACCCCUUAAAUUUCAAAAUUACACAAUUACCCUAACUUUUACAGUUUUUGAAAUUUAGUCCCUCACCCAUUAGCCUAUCAAAUGAGCUAAUUUUUUUUUCUCAAUUGACAAUUUAUCUAAAUAUUCUAAGCUAUUAUAACAGCCUUUGAUCAACAAAAUUUUAGUAUCAAACCCUAAUAUUUAAUCUUUUCAAAAUUUGGUCCUAAAAUCAAUUUCUUUUGAAAUCACUUGAUAAAAUCAUCAUAUAACAAAAUUAAAGCUCUAAAUCCAUGUUAAUUCAUCAAAAAAAUCCGGCACUCAUCAAUGGAAACUUUUAAAAUUACCCAUAAAAUCAAAAACUAAUAAAAUAGAUAGUUGGACCUAAUUGUAAAAGUCCUAAAAACACAAAAAUUCAAGAAAAGAGCAAGAAUUGAACUCACAUGAUGUAAAAAUAUGAAAAACCAGCUUUUGAGGACCUCCUAUGGCGUUUUUGGCUGAAAAUUUUGAAGAAAUGUCUAGAUUUCUUCCAAAACCCAUUUUUAUCUAAUUAAAUUUUGUUUUUAUUUCCCAUUUUACCCUUUAAUCACCUAAUUUCAUUGUUGUUUUUUUCUGCUUAUGCCCCCUCAGCCUUCUAAUGGGUGCCUAAUUGCCUUUUUGGUCCUCCUUUAUUUACCACUUAAGCUAUUUAAUCACUUUUUUUUAAUUAGCAAGUUUUACACCUUUUUCAAUUUAGUCCUUUUUACUUAAUUAACUAUCAAAACGUUAAAAUUUUCUAACAAAACUUUAAUAAUACCUUAAUGACACUCUGUAAAUAUUUAUAAAAAUAUUUACGACUCGGUUUAUAAAAUCGAAGUCUCAAUACCUCAUUUUUGAAACCACUUUACCUAAUAACUCUUUCUAAAACACAAAUCACUAAUUCAAAAAUCUUUUUAAAAUCACGCUUGACUCGUACAUAAUAAAUAAUAAAAUUUUUGAACUCACUCGUCGGAUUUAGUGGUCUCAAACCACUGUUUCUAACACCACUGAAAAUUGGGCUGUUACAAUAUUAUUCUUCCCACGCCCGUUGUUGAAGAAAUUGAUGAAGGUUCAGUAUCUGAGGGUCAGAAUCCUGAAGAUCCUCUUCCAACUGGAGGGGUCUCAACUACAACCACUAAUCAAACUAAUGAGGGUGGGGAUUGAAAUUUCCUUUGUAUAAUUCCAUUUUUUUUACUUCUUUAUGUUAAUGUAUUUUAUCUUUAGCAAUGAAACCAUCAUUUACCUUUCUUUUGUCUCUUUACUUCUUCAUUAUUUCUCUUCACUAAACUAUUAUUAAUACAUUUAUUAUAUAAUGGGGUAAUUUUGACAUACUUGAGGAACUCUACCAAGUUCGGCGUAUUAUGCAUACAGGGCUUCUCCACUUCUUCACAGUCCAAGAAUUAACUAAAUCGUGCUCUAAUACCAAACUUGUAACAUCCUUAACCCGACCUGUUAUGUUGGAUCUGGAUCUUGGUUAUUACCAAACGAAUACAUACAAAAACUUAAUCUACUUAAACAAGUUACAAUUAAUUAUACCUUCUUAGCUAUAGAAUUCAAACUAAAAUACCUAACUAUAUACAAUAAGAAAAUACAACUACCACACAUGGUAAUUAAAUUACAAUGAUAUCUAAAUUGAAAUCUUAAUCUAUUGUAGAUACCCCAAAGUAUGGAUUUUUAUGUAACAAUUUAGACUUUGGGGUAGUCCUGGUAUUGUCCCUCAUGGCACAAUCCUACAUCAGCUCGCUUGUAACAUAGUACACACAGAUAAGUUUAUAAGAACUUAGUGAGGAAAACAUCAUUUACUUGAGUCAUAUUUGCACAUUGCAACUAAUAAUUAUAUAAACAAUUCUAUCAUUCUUAACCUUAAACUUUGUCACUAGUGAAUGCUUCCUCAAGGCAGAUCAGUUAUUAUACCUUGCUCUGAAACUAUUUCAUUCUCAUUUGAUGUCUUCGAUACAUCACUUACAUUCUUCAAACUCUGAGCCAACACCUCAUCGUGAUUCAAGAAGUAACACAUACAUAGACGAAAUGUACUUUCUUCGAACAUACCAAGUUCACAUCCUUAUUCAGUAUACAUUUUCAAUAUUAACCCAUUACUUUUCUAUAUCCUUUGAAUUUGUUAUUUUCGACCAUGUUUUAGUCUUAUGAAAUACCUUUCCAUAUAGUUCAUAGAUAUAUUUCAUCCUUAUUUAUUUCAUUGGUUACAUUUAGGAGCCAUACAAAACUCGCCACAAGGGAAAUUCAUUAGAAUAAGCCACGAAGGCUUUAUCGUAGAACACCACAAAGAGCAUCCUUCAAAGUUCUUCAUUGAGAUCCCUAUUAAGACAUGCUACAAGGGCAUUCCAUCCGGAGUACGCCACAAAGGUUAUCCUUGUAAGAUUCGCCACAGAGGCUAUCCCUUCAUAAUUCGCCACUAAGGCUAUUCAUUCAGAGUUUGCCACAAAGACUAUUCUUUCCUAACGUGUUUACGAUAUAGAUUUGCCUAAACUCACAUUUUAUGAGGUUUGCCUUCAUUGUGUUAGGACACAUAAAGAACCCUAUCGGGUAAUCAUUUCCCUUGAGUUCUUUUUUCAGAAGGUGUCAUUGUCAUGGCUUAAUAUACAUGUAACGUUACCAGUCUAAGCUAAACCUUUAAAAUUACAAUAGAUUAUCAGUCUAGGCUAAAUUUGUGUCACAUGUAUCUUCGAGUCUGUAACAAAUGCUGGAGCUCGAUUUCAAAACAUAUUUACUUGCGGACACUUCAUACAUCGAAAAAACUAAGCUCAAUAUUCUUAAUCCAUAAUAAGCAACCUAUAUAACACACAUCUCAUAACAUAGAUUUCAAACAUUCAGGUACAAUCAUGCUUCACCUUGCAUUUCACAUGCAUUAUUUAACACAUGUUUGAACUCAUCAAACUCUAUACCAGAUUUACGCAUUAUUCCCAACAAUAUUAACUUAAUCAUAGAUAUCCUUUAGGAAUCACUUACCUUACCUACUAUACCUUUCAUGAUCUCGGCAUCACUUUUCGAUUUGUUCUACAAACAUCAAGGUAUGAAUAGUACCACACAAGAGUCAGUUUAAAGAGUUACCUAACAACCAUGAAUAGUAGCUUGAACUUCUGAUCCAACAUCCAACAAGGAACUGCAGCACUACUUAACAUGGAGUGAUUACUGAUAAAGAUCAAGAAUUUUAUCUUCAUCUUGAAGGAUAAAGAACUAUUGUUCGGUUCCUUAAGAUUCAGAUAGCAACACUUUAAAAAAAGGAAGAACCAUAACAUAAAGUAAAAGUGAAGUAGAAGUCAUCUCGAGAGUCUUCUCCCUCAUUAGAUAUAAACUCUCUAUCCUAUUACUGUAGACUUUGACGAGUGACGAUACUUACAUAACCUAUAUCUCCUGAUUUUCCUAAAAAUCUAGGACAGGUGAAGAGAAUUCAAUGAAGAUUUUUAUUACUGUCUAACCAUACAUAGGAAGGGUCUAAUCAAUCCCAUUGAAUCCCAACUAAUCCUGUUAGGAGAACCAACCAAAACAAUACUUAUAUAAUCGGGCGUAUUAUACCUUGGUGGUGACUCGCUUAUGGUGUGGCCUUAAAGGCAAUUAAUCCUCCUACAACAUUUUCAUGCACUUGGUAUGCUCCUUUAUGCCUAAUCCAAAACUCUAAAGCAUAAUUUUCUUGUGCGUAUUCCUUCUUUACAGGAAAAUGUCCAGUGAAAAAAAUCCUUAGAUACCACCAACAGACAGAUACUUUAGUGCUAAAACUCUAACUUGCCAGCAAGUCAACCUGAUGGCAGACUACUAUCACAGUGCUCAAACAGUUUGCAUACAUUCCCUAAUCAUUCAAAAAUAUUUGGGUAGAUACCACUUUACCACACUGACCAUAUUAAAACUAUGCGCUUAUAAUCAGCAAGAACUGGGGUGUUACACAAUCUCAUAGGUUGCCUAAAUAAGAAAUCCCCUAAUAGUUCUCUUGUUUAAGCUUUCAGACUUGAUAAUCCUCCAGUCUACUUUGGUUAAAUGUUUUGUCACGCUUGGACUAGCUCCACAAAUCUCAUGUAUUAGCAGCUCAUCAUGGAUAAGGGCAUCGUAAGCCCUAUCCCGAACACAAGGAUCUAGCGAUCCACUCAUGGUCCUUCAAUCAACUCAAACUUAAGGGUCCUCCAACCCAUUUAAGCUCAAGGGUCUUUCGACCCAUUUAAACUCAAGCUCGCUAGGCCUUCCAAUCCCAUCUUGACCGCAAUGGCCCACUAGCCAACACAGAUGGAGCUUGCAACCGCUCUAAUGCUAAUUAGGCAUACUCUUGCACUACUCAGGUUCCUUCAAAUCGAUUGCCUCAAUAUUACACCAACAUAUUUAUAAAUCUAAUUUUCCUUUUAUUGUCUAUUUUUUUCUCUUCCGAGAUUCAAACCCUAAGACCUUUUAGGAUUUCAUGAUACUCCGAGUUUACAAUCAAGUCUUAUAAGCUCAACUUUCAACUUGGAACGCGCAAGCUAGAGUUAAACUACCCGAGAUCUGAAUUAACAAAGUCAAACCAGCAUUCCAGCACCUUAAACCCCCCACACAAGUUACAAGCUCACGUUACCAAGCUUGGCUUCUAAAUUGCCUGUAGGAGCCUUCAUUGGUUCCAACAGAGGGUAACAAAAACAAUUCUCACGUUUAAAAAGAAGCAAAGAUAUCACUUCUAAAUUUUUGGAAAUAUACUACUGCAAACAAAAUUGUUAGCACUAACAAGAAACCAAACUAAGUGUAAAUAAAUAAAGCAGACACUAUUUCAUGGAAAGACCACUGCCUUAGAAGUGAUUUCACUCUGAUCGAUGUAAUCGAAAAUGGACGUCGCCCCCCAGGGUUAACAUAAUAUUUCCAAAUUUGUACACCCAAAUGAGGAAGAUGGAACUCAAAAGGAUUGCUCUUCUUGUAAAAGCUAGGAAAUAAACUGGAAGAAACUCAAGUAAACCACACUAGGUUUAAUUCCCAAGAAAGAUUGGAGGGGUCACAAACAGUCCCGCUUAAAAUCCAAUCUCCUAGACAGAAUAUUGCAUUAAUGUAAUUUAGUAAAACACCGGAAUUUUAGAGAGCAAAAAUAGGAGAGAAAAGAGAUAGUUGAGUUCUCUUAUUUUUGUGUUGUGAAAUAUGAGUAGAAUAGUCUGCUAUUUAUAGUGUUUUCAAAAGGGGCAAAAUGGUAACAUAACAGUAUCAGUUUCCAUAAAUAAUAGAGGAUUUUUCUCAACAAAAAUAUUCUACAACAAUCAGAGGAUUUUUCUCAACCGAAAAAUAUUCUACAACUGAAAAUAUUUUGAAAAAAUAUUUCUGAUUUUGCAUUACCAACAUGAAUAACAUCACCAUGAAACGUUUGGCCUUUCAUGUUUUUUUUUUCUCCUUGCCACAAUAAUAUUAGAUGUUAUGGUAAGAUUUUUUGUCGCUUGACAAACCCUUAAUGCAAGAAAAUAUAUUUAUUGUCAAUGUUAGAUGAUAAUCAAAUUAGUUCCUUUACUGUUAAAUAGAUUAAUUUAAUUCAUGUACUAUUAAAAAGAAUUGAAUAAGGUUAAAUUGGAAUAUAGUUAACAUUUAUUGUUAAAAAAUGUCAUUAAUUGUUUCAUAGAGUCAAUAAUUUAAAAUUUUUUAUAGCUCUGUAAUUGAAAUCAUCUUUUAGACUUGAAUUGCAAUUAAAAAAUAAUUUUCAAAACAUUUUUGAUACGGUAAAUGUUAACUCCGUUAUAAUUUGAACUUAUUUAAAUUUUUUUGGGUAAACUUCAAAAAUAGUCACUUUUGUUUGCCUUUUAUUACAUUUUAGUCACUUAUGUUUGAAAUGUUACGUUUUAGUUAUUUACGUUAUCGUUUUAUUACGAAGUGGUCACUCUACCUUUAAGCUCUGUUACCUCCCUAACGACGGUCCUACGUGGCAGUCCAAAUGGGUUUUAAAUGCCAACUUGAAUGUCCUACGUGAUAAUUCAAAUUAAAUUUAUUUAAUUAAAAAUCUAUUUUUAUCCCAGCAACUAGACAUCCAAGUUGGCAUUUAAAUCCCAUUUGGAUUGUCAUGUAAGACUGUCGUUAGGGAGGUAACGGAGUUUAACAGUAGAGUGACCACUUCAUAACAAAACGAUAACAUAAGUGACUAAAACGUAACAUUUCAAAUAUAAGUGACUAAAAUAUAAUCUGAGACAAACAAAAGUGAUUAUUUUUAUAGUUUACCCAAUUCUUUUAAUAAUAUAAGACUAAAUUAAUCAAUUUAAAAAUAAAAAAUUAAUUUAAUCCAAUCCUUGUUAACAGGAUCUCUCACGGAGUUUAACCCAAACUAAAUGCAUGUCCAAUGAUCAUAUUCUGACCACGAUCCACCUGUAUACACAGACACUGCAGCAGAUAGCAGCAAAUAGAAAACACUGUUAGAAAAUGUUAUACCUCUUUUACGUAUUCGACAUUAAUUGUAACAAUAACGGUGUUAAAUUCUGUUUAAAGUUGCAACUUUUGGACAAAUUAAUUCAAUGUGUAUAUUUGGAUGUCUUACCAUAUAUACACGAGGUAAUUAAUUAUUACCCUAUCUUACCUUUUUUUACUCUAUUGGGGUUGUUCAAAAUCCAGCUAAAUAAAUAAUCUCACCCAAUAAUUAAAGUUACUAUGAUUAGAACUGUUUAAAUUUUUUUCAAAUUUUAUUUAAAUAUCAAAUUGUUAAUUCUUUCGAGUUAUUCAUUUGACGCGUUAAAUAUAUUAUUAGAAAUUAAAAAUUUAUCACAUGCAUAUAUGUGUGAAAAAUCUCAUAUUUAGAAAACAGUAAAGUAAUAGUGUGCAUGAUAACAUAAAAGUAUUAGAAUAAAUUUUAAUAUUUUAUUAAUCUAAUUAGCAUGAAUUUUAAAUCUCAUUAACCUAAUCAUUAUUGUGCAUAAAAUAUUUAUGAAUUUAUUAUAAAUAUAUAUUUGUUAUUGUAAUAAUUUAUAAACGACCUCAUCUAUUAUACCAAAACAAGACUACUUAAUACAAUAUCAUGCCUUAUAUGUCACACUUUAAACUUAAUUAAAUUUUUAUUUAUUAUAUUUAAAGCUACCAUAAUUACACUUUCUUUUCUUUUUAUAACUUCGAACUUGAAAAAUCAGUGAAUGAGUGCAAUCAAUUUAUUUCAAAGUAAUUCAACAAACUCCAAAAUAAUUAAAAAGUAGAAUAACCAAAUAAAUUGCUUACUUUUUAGGGUUACACUGAUAUGCGGCUAAGGGUUUUUUUUUUUUUUUUUACAUUCUUUUAUGGUUGUUUGAAAAUGGACAGGGCUUAAGGAUGUUGCAAAUUGUGAAUUUCUUUCUCCACAAUUUCCUUCCUAACUACGGGCCCAAAAAAUUGGGUUUUUUUUAUAGAGAGAAUCUAGAGUUUGGUCCCACGUAGGGUUUUGUAUGUGCUAGAUGUGACACCACCAAAUUUAAGUAUGUGAUGUCAUAUUACGUCGUCAAAGUAGCUAAAACUGUAGUAACACAAAUGCAUUCAAUUCAAUCAUCAAAAUAAUUCAUAUGUAAGCGUUCAAGUUAAUUUCAGAGCUAAGACUCGAAUCCAAACUCAAAGUCAAAUUUCAAAUUUAUGUCUUGAGACAAGAGUUUUUAUGUCUCGAGGCAGGUCAUAAAUAAUUUUGAAAUUUUUAACUUCAAAGUUAACAUGUCUCGAGGCAAGGUCCUUUAUGUCUUGAGACCAACCUCCCAUAUUUUCUUAUUUUUCUUGUCUCAAGACCUAGAGCAAGGAAAAAUAUUUAGCUUCAAUGUUCUUUUGCCUCGAGACAUAGAAACAAUUGCCUCAAGACUAUAUAAAUAUGUCUCGAGACCCUAGACUCUUAAUUUCAAAAUUUAAAUGAAAUUUGAUCCAGCGGUCUCGAGACUCAGUGGUCAAAUGGUCAAAAUUCUACACUUCUAAGUGUUUAAUGCCUCAACCAUUUGAACUUAAAUCUACCUAAAACUUACCACAAAACAUAUUCAUCCAAUCGACCUAUCUAAACAUGUUUAAACACUACUAAAUCAUAACCUGCAAUAGGUCAUUACUAAACCAACCCAUUUGCACAUUCAAACUCACAUAAACAAACAUAAUUAACUAGUAAUUAAAAGUUAAAAUUCAACUAACAUAACAUUAUAGGUCACUUACUAAAAGUGUCAAAACUAACUUAGGCAACAAGCCUACCAACUUAGGUACAGCCAUAUGAGAGCACAAACCAGAUUAGCUAUUUGUUGAUGAUUGUCUUUCCCUUUGCUUUUCGAUGUUCCAACGUCUUCUUUAGCUAUGUAAAAUAAAUUUGAAUAUAGAAAAUUCAUUAAUAAUCCAAUUCAAACACAAAUCAACACAUUAAAUACAUGAAUUCAUUUUAUUCGAUUUAGUCCCUAUACACCCUAAUAUCUGAAACACUCUAUACUCACAAUUUACUUACCGAAUUUAAAUCCAACUUAAUAAGCAUAGUACAAGGACCUCUUGCUACCUCUAUUUAUUUUCAAACCUCAAAGUUUACAUUUCUUACAAUUAGAUCAUGAAUUAAACAUAAUUUAAUUAUAUAAUCCUAAUUCAAUACUUUUCGCCAAAAUUUCAAUAGAAAUAACUAUAAUCUUAACUACUAUUAACAUGCAUGAGUUUUGAACAUUAAACUUCAAUUUUCCUCAAGUUACCAUCAAAGGAAUUUCAUCUAAAAUCUUACUAAUUCCUCAAAUAUUUAAUAUUUAUUGUACUUUAAUAAAAAAAUCAAUAAAAAAUUAUGACUAAACUUACCAAUUUCCUUGGCAAGCUCGGCGAUGGUGGAGAAAUGGAGAAGGAAAUGUUUUUUCUUUCUUUCCUAGCUAGACUGUAGAAAGGAUGAAAGAAAAUGAUGAUGUCUGUCCCUCACUAUCUGAUUAACCUUUAAUUAGUAGUUAUCUGAAUUAACAAGUUAAACACUAGAAAGUGGAAAGUGUUGACAUUUCUGCUUCUUAGUUUUGCAAUCGUCUAAUUGCUAUUAUCAGUUUCCUCCAUUUUAGUUACUAAUCAAUUUAUUCUCUGUAUUAUUUUAUUAAUCAAUUUAAUUCAAUAAUACUCAAUAAUUCAAAUUUCCUAAUCCCUCGAAAUUAUCCUAUUCUAAUUGUUUAUUAGCUUAUUUCAAAAAUCUAGUCUAAAACUAAAUUUUAUGACAUUGUUAAAAUCGAGUUGUUACGUCAAAGAUGUGAGAAAAUCUCUACCUCGAAUCACCAUCUCAGUGGCAAAUUUCGUGCCCCGACACCGUAGAGAUUCUCUGCUCCUUGGCACCGACUAGACCUGCAUCGGGUUCUCAAAUCACCAAGUUGGCAAUCGAUUUGGUUCCCAAAGUCGACAGAUGAGUGGUAAUUUUCAGAACCUAAGAGUCCCCCCUCAUUUUCACCCCAAAUCGCCAUUCCAUUCACCUAUUUGGGUGUCAGUUGUCCCUACGCAUAUAUUUCGUUCUUGAGGUGAUUAGCCCUCUUUUUUCUUUUUGGUUUAGUGUAGCAAUCGAG